AUGUCCCCCUCUUUCUUGGUAUCUCAAGUCAUGCAUAAUGGUUUACUCACUACUCCACGGAACCGCCUAACCAACGUUGCUUGUGUCGACCUUGUUUCCAUUUUGUCCUUGUUACAGGAUGUUACCGCCACCGACGCGCCCGACGACAGGUACCUCACCCAUGGCUCCUUGUUCUCCUCGAAGUGCGCCCACUCGCUGCUAUCCUUCGAUGAUGAGAUUGAUCUCAAUGCCGGGUACACCCGAAGUUCCAAGGCACCUAUCAAGGCUAAGAUCUUCCGUUGGCUUCUGUGUCGUGACAGAUUGACCAUGAAGCCGAACUUACAUCGCAAGAACAUCUCCUUUGACUCUUCUUUCCCUUGGUGUGACUUCACAUUGGAGAAUGUGACGGACCUCACCAUCCUUGGCCCAUGCGUGUCUUAG
Molecule: ribosomal RNA, 420 nt
Filed under: Triticum aestivum (bread wheat)
Lineage: Eukaryota; Viridiplantae; Streptophyta; Magnoliopsida; Poales; Poaceae
Description: partial small subunit ribosomal RNA
Source: RNAcentral